AGUCGAACGGUAACAGUCCCAGCUUGCUGGGAGCUGACGAGUGGCGCACGGGUGCGUAACGCGUAUACAAUCUGCCUUUAAGCGGGGAAUAGCCCAUGGAAACGUGGAUUAAUACCCCAUAGUAUAUAGGAGUCACCUGACUUUUAUAUUAAACAUUUAUGGCUUAAAGAUGAGUAUGCGUCCUAUUAGUUAGUUGGUAAGGUAACGGCUUACCAAGACGGCGAUAGGUAGGGGUCCUGAGAGGGAGAUCCCCCACACUGGUACUGAGACACGGACCAGACUCCUACGGGAGGCAGCAGUGAGGAAUAUUGGACAAUGGAGGCAACUCUGAUCCAGCCAUGCCGCGUGCAGGAAGACGGCCCUAUGGGUUGUAAACUGCUUUUAUACGGGAAGAACCACAUCUACGUGUAGAUGCUUGACGGUACCGUAUGAAUAAGGACCGGCUAACUCCGUGCCAGCAGCCGCGGUAAUACGGAGGGUCCAAGCGUUAUCCGGAAUCAUUGGGUUUAAAGGGUCCGUAGGCGGGGUAAUAAGUCAGUGGUGAAAGUCUGCAGCUCAACUGUAGAAUUGCCAUUGAUACUGUUAUUCUUGAAUUAUUAUGAAGUGGUUGGAAUGAGUAGUGUAGCGGUGAAAUGCAUAGAUAUUACUCAGAACACCUAUUGCGAAGGCAGAUCACUAAUAAUAUAUUGACGCUGAGGGACGAAAGCGUAGGUAGCGAACAGGAUUAGAUACCCUGGUAGUCUACGCCGUAAACGAUGGUUACUAGCUGUCCGGCCUAAUUGAGGGCUGGGUGGUUAAGCGAAAGUGAUAAGUA
RNAcentral lists this ribosomal RNA (814 nucleotides) under Gramella sp. MED367. RNAcentral's name for it is "bacterial SSU rRNA". It matches the Rfam family "Bacterial small subunit ribosomal RNA", at positions 60 to 866 of the family's 1533-position model. Lineage: Bacteria; Pseudomonadati; Bacteroidota; Flavobacteriia; Flavobacteriales; Flavobacteriaceae. The record is from RNAcentral.